AUAUGUUUAAAUUUGAACGGACUCGCCGAAGUUUGCGUUGAAUUUGUGAUGUGUUUGCGUUGAAUUUAAGUUUCUCAAAAAAAAUGUGGGCGCCGCGGCUGGGGUGCAUCACGCCCCCAGCUCGCGGUUUAGCGCCGGUGCGUCCCCAUUGGACGAUUUUUAGCCCCUCCUAAUAGACCAACGAUUGAAGAUGCUCUAAGGCAACACACGGAUCUCGCUCGAGGAGCCCAGGGUCGCGCCGGCAUUCCGGGGCAGCGUGAGGUAGGAUGUCGCGGGCUGGAAUGACGCCAUUCGGGUUUGGACAUCCGGGCCAUGGCACCGUCGAUGGUCACCUCCCGCUAACGUGCUCGCACUCUCCACGAACGUCGAUGCCCUUGUGCCUGGAACUGCGUUAACCUUAUUAGGUACUAGAUCAUCGAUGGCGCGCGUUGCCGCACCCGUCUAUUUUGACAAUUAAAUGAUAUUAUAUUUGUAAAUAUAUAUAGAGCUAUGUACGCAAGAUGAAUGAAAACUGCGUUAACCUUAUUAGGUACUAGAUCAUCGAUGGCGCGCGUUGCCGCACCCGUCUAUUUUGACAAUUAAAUGAUAUUAUAUUUGUAAAUAUAUAUAGAGCUAUGUACGCAAGAUGAAUGAAACUUAAAUUUGUAAAUACUCAACCGUAUCAUUACUCAGUUAUCGGAGAGCAGACUUUUUGCAAGAAUGUAAAGUGGUAGUAGAGGAGAGCUGGGAUUUGUCUUGUG
This 740-nucleotide long non-coding RNA is filed under the name Triticum aestivum (bread wheat). Its description in RNAcentral is "long non-coding RNA (TAES_LNC022048)". The record is from RNAcentral. Lineage: Eukaryota; Viridiplantae; Streptophyta; Magnoliopsida; Poales; Poaceae.